CCCCAGACUCCUACGGGAGGCAGCAGUGGGGAAUAUUGCACAAUGGGGGAAACCCUGAUGCAGCGACGCCGCGUGAGCGAUGAAGUAUUUCGGUAUGUAAAGCUCUAUCAGUAGGGAAGAAAAUGACGGUACCUGACUAAGAAGCCCCGGCUAACUACGUGCCAGCAGCCGCGGUAAUACGUAGGGGGCAAGCGUUAUCCGGAUUUACUGGGUGUAAAGGGGGCGCAGACGGCGACGCAAGCCAGGAGUGAAAGCCCGGGGCCCAACCCCGGGACUGCUCUUGGAACUGCGUGGCUGGAGUGCAGUAGGGGCAGGCGGAAUUCCUGGUGUAGCGGUGAAAUGCGUAGAUAUCAGGAGGAACACCGGUGGCGAAGGCGGCCUGCUGGACUGCAACUGACGUUGAGGCCCGAAAGCGUGGGGAGCAAACAGGAUUAGAUACCCUGUAGAA
Molecule: ribosomal RNA, 448 nt
Filed under: uncultured bacterium
Lineage: Bacteria
Description: partial 16S ribosomal RNA
Rfam family: Bacterial small subunit ribosomal RNA
Source: RNAcentral